UGGGGAAUUUUGGACAAUGGGGGCAACCCUGAUCCAGCCAUGCCGCGUGAGUGAAGAAGGCCUUCGGGUUGUAAAGCUCUUUCGGCCGGGAAGAAAUCGUGGUCUCUAACAUAGGCCAUGGAUGACGGUACCGGACUAAGAAGCACCGGCUAACUACGUGCCAGCAGCCGCGGUAAUACGUAGGGUGCGAGCGUUAAUCGGAAUUACUGGGCGUAAAGCGUGCGCAGGCGGUUUUGUAAGACAGAUGUGAAAUCCCCGGGCUGAACAUGGGAACUGCGUUUGUGACUGCAAGGCUAGAGUACGGCAGAGGGGGGUGGAAUUCCACGUGUAGCAGUGAAAUGCGUAGAGAUGUGGAGGAACACCGAUGGCGAAGGCAGCCCCCUGGGCCUGUACUGACGCUCAUGCACGAAAGCGUGGGGAGCAAACA
This 427-nucleotide ribosomal RNA is filed under the name uncultured bacterium. Its description in RNAcentral is "bacterial SSU rRNA". It matches the Rfam family "Bacterial small subunit ribosomal RNA", at positions 355 to 774 of the family's 1533-position model. The record is from RNAcentral.